Molecule: ribosomal RNA, 273 nt
Filed under: uncultured bacterium
Lineage: Bacteria
Description: partial 16S ribosomal RNA
Rfam family: Bacterial small subunit ribosomal RNA
Source: RNAcentral
UACGUAGGGUGCAAGCGUUGUUCGGAAUCAUUGGGCGUAAAGAGCGUGUAGGCGGUUGGACAAGUCAGAUGUGAAAGCCCUGGGCUUAACUCAGGAAGUGCAUUUGAAACUGUUCAGCUGGAGUAAGGGAGAGGAAAGUGGAAUUCCUGGUGUAGAGGUGAAAUUCGUAGAUAUCAGGAGGAACACCGGUGGCGAAGGCGACUUUCUGGCCCUAUACUGACGCUGAGGCGCGAAAGCGUGGGUAGAAAACAGGAGGAGAUACCCCCGGAGUCC